UAAAGUGAAAGUAAUGCUACUGUAUGACCUUGAAGAGGAAUUAGAAGAAGAAGAACUCAUAUAGCAGGAUUUCUAGACUUUGUUCCAUUGUGCGCAAACGCAGGCAGCCAGGGCGCCGAGGAAAGCAGGUGUCUCUCCUGCCCCAUGAGGCAGAGCUGUUAGCGGGGAUAGGGGAGGAUGAGAUUACCCAGCUCCAGGCUCAUCAAGAUCGUAUCAAGGCCCAGCGCCACCGGAAGAGGAGGGCGGAGGAGCAGGAGUCCUCCACUUCAUCAUCAAGCAAUCAAGAUGAAUUGUUCAUUUUUGACCUCCACGCAGUGGACGAAGGCCUGGACCUGGACGCGUCUGGUUCGGCUCACCAUUCUUCCUCCCCAGCAGUUUCUCCGGCACAUCAUCUCCUCCACCCUUCAGCAUCCCCCUACCUGGGCAUA
This is a long non-coding RNA of Rana temporaria (common frog), 428 nucleotides long. RefSeq lists it as uncharacterized. The record is from RefSeq and is a predicted model, not a curated record. Lineage: Eukaryota; Metazoa; Chordata; Amphibia; Anura; Ranidae. The transcript has 4 exons.